RNAcentral lists this ribosomal RNA (404 nucleotides) under Actinomycetes bacterium. RNAcentral's name for it is "Actinobacteria bacterium partial 16S ribosomal RNA". It matches the Rfam family "Bacterial small subunit ribosomal RNA", at positions 355 to 776 of the family's 1533-position model. Lineage: Bacteria; Bacillati; Actinomycetota; Actinomycetes. The record is from RNAcentral.
UGGGGAAUCUUGCGCAAUGGGCGAAGGCCUGACGCAGCCAUGCCGCGUGAAUGAUGAAGGUCUUAGGAUUGUAAAAUUCUUUCACCGGGGACGAUAAUGACGGUACCCGGAGAAGAAGCCCCGGCUAACUUCGUGCCAGCAGCCGCGGUAAUACGAAGGGGGCUAGCGUUGCUCGGAAUUACUGGGCGUAAAGGGAGCGUAGGCGGACAUUUAAGUCAGGGGUGAAAUCCCGGGGCUCAACCUCGGAAUUGCCUUUGAUACUGGGUGUCUUGAGUAUGAGAGAGGUGUGUGGAACUCCGAGUGUAGAGGUGAAAUUCGUAGAUAUUCGGAAGAACACCAGUGGCGAAGGCGACACACUGGCUCAUUACUGACGCUGAGGCUCGAAAGCGUGGGGAGCAAACAGG